Long non-coding RNA from Aegilops tauschii subsp. strangulata, 1100 nucleotides. RefSeq lists it as uncharacterized. Lineage: Eukaryota; Viridiplantae; Streptophyta; Magnoliopsida; Poales; Poaceae. The record is from RefSeq and is a predicted model, not a curated record.
CGAACAAGAAGCCAUCGUCACCCCCAUCCCCAGUCUCCACGGCCACCAGCCGCCGUCGCGCUCGACCUCCAACCACCGCCUCCACACCCGUCAGCCGCCGGUGCGAACCACCUCCAGCUGCGGCCUCCAAUCCCCGCCGGUGCGGCGACCUCCCAGCCCCAAGUUCUGGUUCUCUAGAUUGGUCUUGGUACACGAUACAUCUUAAGCUGGAGUUCGUCGCUAAGCAGGUUUGAUUAUGUAAAGUUCAAGUUUUUUGUGUGUGAUGCAGUAUAGCUCAACUACAUUUUAUUACCUCUUUACUUUUAAAUUGCUUACUGGAUGUUGAACUAAUUCUCUGCCUUCUCCAUCACUUACGUGGUUCCCUAUUUGGUUGAUCUAUUGUACUCAUGUAUAUUUCAAAAUACUAAGAAACGAGGCUAUCAAUUAUCUUGUAUACAAAAGGUUUGGGACUGAAUCUUCUAAUGAAAGCAGGAGUAGAAGAAGUCCAUGAGGGAGAGUUCGGUUCAAUUUAUAAAUUUCAUUCAGUUCGGCGAGGUGGAGAUUGGGGCACGGUGGAGUGUGGCCGUGUGUGUGGAGACGGCCCACCACAACGUCACCGGCCAGAUCCCACUCUUCAGUGACGAGCUGGACCUUCGUCUGCUUCUCGUUUCCAGCUGCAUCCAGGACGACCUGGACUUGCUGCCACUAGCUGUUGGUGCACCUCAUGUUAGCUCCUAGCUGUUACCUAGUGUGCUUGAUGCUACCGCUACAAAGAAGGUCGAAGGAGCUCCCUUCAGCUCAGUGGAUUCAACAAAAAAAUCCCUGCUGCCACUGCAUCCUGAGUUCAAGGGAUUCCUUAGGAGCCUUUUACACCAUCUUGCUAAUGAUGCCAUCGCUCGAUGCCACAGCCAUGCUCGUCGUUCUUGUGCUGCCAUUCACAUACUGCUCCCUGUUUUACUUCAUUGAGAUCCAUAGAAAUAAGUUAUAUUCAGUUUGCCACUUUUACAAUGGACGGUCCUAUGUUAACCGAACAAUAGUUCAAGCUCCUAAAAAAGCAAUUAUGUGUAUGCUACAUCACUUUGAGGAACUACAGCAAACAAAAUAAGGAGAGCUUGGUACUA